AGAUGACUGGAUAAAGAAGAUACGGUAACAAAAAUCUUUGGAGGCCAAGUGCUGCUCUAAACUGGCAUUGGUUCUAGCUCGGCUCUUAUAGACCUAUCACAAACUGGCAGUUUGCUUAUGGCAUGAGUGCUAGAGGAGGCUGGUUGAGAAAAAUUUUAGAGGAUGAACGCAAGUCAAUGAUUUCUACAAAAAAUACUGAUGCUGAGAGUAAUAGAUAGCCUCUGGCUCAUCUGAAUUUACAGGUUCGGCCUCCGCUUCUUCUCCUUCUCCUGGCAGAGGGUUAUCAACUGUGCUGCACUCAGAGGAACUUGACCGAUUCAAUCUCUAAAAAGAAAUUCACCACCCCACCAGACAGUUCAUUUAGGGGUCAUUCAAAUCUUAUAUUCAAGCCAUAUUCAAUAAUCAAAGUCAUGCAAAGUGUUAUGAAAAAAGAUUAACAGUAUGAUGGCCAUAAAAACGUAUAAACACAUAUUGAGGUCAGGUAACCUUAUAAUACA
Molecule: non-coding RNA, 497 nt
Organism: Callorhinus ursinus (northern fur seal)
Lineage: Eukaryota; Metazoa; Chordata; Mammalia; Carnivora; Otariidae
Source: RefSeq, a predicted model, not a curated record